Molecule: non-coding RNA, 77 nt
Organism: Salvelinus fontinalis (brook trout)
Lineage: Eukaryota; Metazoa; Chordata; Actinopteri; Salmoniformes; Salmonidae
Source: the annotation of a RefSeq genome assembly
GGUACCAUGUGGCUCAGUUGGUAGAGCAUGACACUAGCAAUGCCAGGGUUGUGGGUUCAAUUCCCACUGGGGGACCA